GACGAACGCUGGCGGCGUGCCUAAUGCAUGCAAGUCGAACGGUAACAGGGAGCUUGCUCCGCUGACGAGUGGCGAACGGGUGAGUAAUGUAUCGGAACGUACCAUUCAGUGGGGGAUAACGUAGCGAAAGUUACGCUAAUACCGCAUAUUCUGUGAGCAGGAAAGCAGGGGAUCGCAAGACCUUGCGCUGAUUGAGCGGCCGAUGUCAGAUUAGCUAGUUGGUGAGGUAAAGGCUCACCAAGGCGACGAUCUGUAGCGGGUCUGAGAGGAUGAUCCGCCACACUGGAACUGAGACACGGUCCAGACUCCUACGGGAGGCAGCAGUGGGGAAUUUUGGACAAUGGGGGCAACCCUGAUCCAGCCAUGCCGCGUGAGUGAAGAAGGCCUUCGGGUUGUAAAGCUCUUUCGGCCGGGAAGAAAUCGCAUGGGUUAAUACCCUGUGCGGAUGACGGUACCGGCAUAAGAAGCACCGGCUAACUACGUG
Molecule: ribosomal RNA, 484 nt
Filed under: uncultured bacterium
Lineage: Bacteria
Description: bacterial SSU rRNA
Rfam family: Bacterial small subunit ribosomal RNA
Source: RNAcentral